Molecule: long non-coding RNA, 602 nt
Filed under: Nicotiana benthamiana
Lineage: Eukaryota; Viridiplantae; Streptophyta; Magnoliopsida; Solanales; Solanaceae
Description: long non-coding RNA (NBEN_LNC029486)
Source: RNAcentral
UUUGAUAGGAAUAGGACUAAACUUUAUGAUUCCUUCUUGUAACUGAAGUACCUUAAAACACAAUCUUAAAUCCUGAUCUGGUAAUGAGUGCAUAAGCGUGUCUACAUUCAACCUCGCUCUUCACCCAAAUCUGAAAUUAAGAAAAAAAAAUCAUUCAUACAUAUAAUUUAAGGCAUAUUGAGAUUUGAAAUUCUCCAGAACCGACUUGUGGGAUUACACUAGGUUUAUUGUUGUUAUUGUUGAGAUCUGAAAUUACUGACUUGCAUCUGAUAGACGGUGGAACAGGGCUUUGCAUCACUAGCAGUGAUGGCUCAGUGUUGGGAAGACUGCAUCGAAAGAAAAUGAGCAGGAUGGUUCAAGUCAAUUGUGGCGUUCUGGUUAGGCAACCAUGAUGAGAGCAUUUUCAGAUCUCCUACAGCAUGCCUGGCUAAGAUCUGCUCUACGGAUGGUUGUAUGCAUAUAUAGUCCGUUCUUUACUUUUUUUUUUGUCAAAGUAACAUGCUCAAUACUACUUCAGUAAAAUACUUCCUUUAAAUACAUCAUGACUGAAUCCUAUUCGUGCGUAUGUGUCUAUAUUUAAAAUGCAAUCACCUCAAUGCUGG